Non-coding RNA from Podarcis lilfordi (Lilford's wall lizard), 71 nucleotides. Lineage: Eukaryota; Metazoa; Chordata; Lepidosauria; Squamata; Lacertidae. The record is from the annotation of a GenBank genome assembly.
GGACUUCAGAUCAGUGGUAGAGCACAUGUUUUGCAUACAUAAAGUCCCAGUUUGAAUCCCUGGAAUCUCCA